This 354-nucleotide unclassified non-coding RNA is filed under the name Melitaea cinxia (Glanville fritillary). RNAcentral describes it as "misc RNA ENSMCXG00005018590.1". Lineage: Eukaryota; Metazoa; Arthropoda; Insecta; Lepidoptera; Nymphalidae. The record is from RNAcentral.
CCGACUUCAAUUACAUCGACGAGUAAUACAACGUAGAUCGACGAAAAAAUACUCAAGUAACUGCGCGUUAUCAAAGAUUACUCAAAAAGUAGUUAUCAGGUCUCAAUGAAAUUUAUAUGUGACCACAUGACAAACAUCAGCUUUCGAUUAAAUUAAAAAUUAUUAAAAUCGGUACACCCAGUAAAAAGUUAUUGCGGAUUUUCAAGAAUUUCUAUCAAUUUCUCUGGGAUCCCAUCAUCAGAUCCUGGUUUCCUUAUCGUGAUACCAAACUAGAGAUAUUUCCUUUCCAACAAAAAAAGAAUUAUCAAAAUCGGUACAUCCAGUAGAAAGUUAUGCGGUAUAAUACAACGUAGG